UACGUAGGGGGCAAGCGUUGUCCGGAAUCAUUGGGCGUAAAGCGCGUGUAGGCGGUUCGGUAAGUCGGCUGUGAAAGUCCAGGGCUCAACCCCGGGCCUGCAUUCGAUACGGGCAGACUAGAGUUCGGUAGGGGAGUCUGGAAUUCCUGGUGUAGCGGUGAAAUGCGCAGAUAUCAGGAGGAACACCGGUGGCGAAGGCGGGACUCUGGGCCGAUACUGACGCUGAGGAGCGAAAGCGUGGGGAGCGAACAGG
This 253-nucleotide ribosomal RNA is filed under the name uncultured bacterium. RNAcentral describes it as "partial 16S ribosomal RNA". It matches the Rfam family "Bacterial small subunit ribosomal RNA", at positions 524 to 776 of the family's 1533-position model. The record is from RNAcentral.